Molecule: long non-coding RNA, 680 nt
Organism: Girardinichthys multiradiatus
Lineage: Eukaryota; Metazoa; Chordata; Actinopteri; Cyprinodontiformes; Goodeidae
Exons: 3
Source: RefSeq, a predicted model, not a curated record
CUGAUAUUGACUGUUGGUUUGAGCUGAUCACUCAUUCCACACCCCAACAAUUAAUUGGUCCUUCGAGCUGGAGAAUUUAAGAACUAAUCUGAUCUUAUUUGUCUUUGCAGUGACUGGCGGAUCCCGGGGAACAGCCUGACGUCGAGUUAAGUGCUGCCACGCAGCCACACCUGGGCCUGGUGGCUGAAAGUCCCGGUGUGUAAAUUCUCAUCAGGCCAGUGGGUUAUCAUCUUGCUUGACGUCGGGUGACUCUGGGGGUCCGACAGAGUCUCCUAGAAGUCAGCUCAGGGGGGUUGACACGCGGGUGCUUCCACACAGCUGAGAACCAUCAGAGAGUGGAUUCAGGUCCUAAUCGUGGUUCUGCCCAAGGCACCUCGCUGUGUUUGCUGGACCAAGUGCCUCCUUCCUCCUCCAUUAAAGAACCACUUCCAGAGAUUACCCACCUCACCAUCAGCUCUGGAUUCAGCCUUUCACCUGCCUGUCCACCCUCCAACAUCCCGUCCAGUUGGCUGGAAAGUAAGAGAGAGAACCCCAAUCACCACACAACAACCUCUCCUGUCAAACCCUAUCAUCAUGGUGUGACUUACCUGUUCCCCUGGAAACAUCAGAACUACAGAACAAUACGAUUUUUGUUUCUCUUCUACCCAUGAUUCAGCUGUUUCUGACUCAAUAAAACUGAA